This 484-nucleotide ribosomal RNA is filed under the name uncultured bacterium. RNAcentral describes it as "partial 16S ribosomal RNA". It matches the Rfam family "Bacterial small subunit ribosomal RNA", at positions 30 to 507 of the family's 1533-position model. The record is from RNAcentral.
AUUGAACGCUGGCGGCAUGCCUAACACAUGCAAGUCGAACGGUAGCAGGGAGCUUGGUGCUGGAGUGAGCGGCGCGGGGGUGUGUAAUGCCUAGGAGUGUGCCGGCGUGGGGGGGAUAACGUCGGGAGAGGGGCUCUUAUAGCACACACGUUCUGGGUGAGAGAGGGGGGGAUCUUCGGACCGCGCGCUAGCAGAGGAGGCUAGGUCGGAUUAGCUAGUUGGUGGGGUAAAGGCCUACCAAGGCGACGAUCUGUAGCUGGUCUGAGAGGACGAUCAGUCACACUGGAACUGAGACACGGCCCAGACUCCUACGGGAGGCAGCAGUGGGGAAUAUUGGACAAUGGGCGCAAGCCUGAUCCAGCAAUGCCGCGUGUGUGAAGAAGGCCUUCGGAUUGUAAACUGCUUUUAUUCGGGACGAAGCGCCGUUAGUUAAUACCCUGCUCUAUUGACGGUACCAUAAGAAUAAGCACCGGCUAACUACGUG